UAAAAGGGUUUCUGUCGUGAGUGGCACACGUAGAGCAGCUUGAUUGCUCCACGUGCAGAAUCGACAUCGAGAGAUUUCGGGAGCAUAAUUUUUUGGUCCUUGGCAGCUGGUGAUUGUUGGUCCUGGCGCCCUC
Molecule: small nuclear RNA, 133 nt
Organism: Molossus molossus (Pallas's mastiff bat)
Lineage: Eukaryota; Metazoa; Chordata; Mammalia; Chiroptera; Molossidae
Product: U11 spliceosomal RNA
Exons: 1
Source: RefSeq, a predicted model, not a curated record